RNAcentral lists this ribosomal RNA (99 nucleotides) under Parageobacillus thermantarcticus. RNAcentral's name for it is "23S rRNA. Bacterial LSU". It matches the Rfam family "Bacterial large subunit ribosomal RNA", at positions 2825 to 2925 of the family's 2925-position model. Lineage: Bacteria; Bacillati; Bacillota; Bacilli; Caryophanales; Anoxybacillaceae. The record is from RNAcentral.
CGAGUAAGAUCCCUCGAAGAUGACGAGGUUGAUAGGUCCGAGGUGGAAGCGUGGCGACACGUGGAGCUGACGGAUACUAAUCGAUCGAGGACUUAACCA